Molecule: ribosomal RNA, 274 nt
Filed under: uncultured bacterium
Lineage: Bacteria
Description: partial 16S ribosomal RNA
Rfam family: Bacterial small subunit ribosomal RNA
Source: RNAcentral
AUACGGGGGAGGCAAGCGUUAAUCGGAUUUAUUGGGCGUAAAGGGCGCGUAGGCGGUUCUCUCAGUCGGGUGUUAAAUCCCACGGCUUACCCGUGGAGCUGCGCCCGAUACUGGAGGACUUGAGGACCGGAGAGGUUGGCGGAAUUCCAGGUGUAGCGGUGGAAUGCGUAGAUAUCUGGAAGAACACCAGUGGCGAAGGCGGCCAACUGGACGGUUCCUGACGCUGAGGCGCGAAAGUGUGGGUAGCGAACGGGAUUAGAAACCCCAGUAGUCC